CCCUUAGAUGUCCUGGGCCGCACGCGCGCUACACUGAGUGUCUGAGAUACGAGUCUGCCUGGUCCGGCAAGGUCUAGGUAAUCGCUAAAAGACACAUCAUGCUUGGGAUAGAUUAUUGCAAAUAUUAAUCUUGAACGAGGAAUUCCUAGUAAGCGCAAGUCAACAGCUUGCGUUUAUUACGUCCCUGCCCUUUGUACACACCGCCCGUCGCUACUACUGAUUGGGUGUUUAAGCGAGGUUCUCGAACUGCUAGCGACUUAGCUUCGGUGAGGUCGCAGUGUGGGAAGUGAACCUAGCUUUGGUGUCUAGAGGAAGUAAAAGUCGUAACA
Molecule: ribosomal RNA, 329 nt
Filed under: uncultured eukaryote
Lineage: Eukaryota
Description: partial 18S ribosomal RNA
Rfam family: Eukaryotic small subunit ribosomal RNA
Source: RNAcentral